This 728-nucleotide ribosomal RNA is filed under the name uncultured bacterium. RNAcentral describes it as "bacterial SSU rRNA". It matches the Rfam family "Bacterial small subunit ribosomal RNA", at positions 771 to 1501 of the family's 1533-position model. The record is from RNAcentral.
AACAGGAUUAGAUACCCUGGUAGUCCACGCCCUAAACGAUGUCGACUAGGUGUUCGGUGAGGAGACUCAUUGAGUACCGCAGCUAACGCGUGAAGUCGACCGCCUGGGGAGUACGGUCGCAAGAUUAAAACUCAAAGGAAUUGACGGGGACCCGCACAAGCGGUGGAUGAUGUGGAUUAAUUCGAUGCAACGCGAAAAACCUUACCUACCCUUGACAUGUACGGAACCCUGCUGAGAGGUGGGGGUGCUCGAAAGAGAGCCGUAACACAGGUGCUGCAUGGCUGUCGUCAGCUCGUGUCGUGAGAUGUUGGGUUAAGUCCCGCAACGAGCGCAACCCUUGUCAUUAGUUGCUACGCAAGAGCACUCUAAUGAGACUGCCGGUGACAAACCGGAGGAAGGUGGGGAUGACGUCAAGUCCUCAUGGCCCUUAUGGGUAGGGCUUCACACGUCAUACAAUGGUCGGUACAGAGGGUUGCCAAGCCGCGAGGUGGAGCUAAUCCCAGAAAGCCGAUCGUAGUCCGGAUCGCAGUCUGCAACUCGACUGCGUGAAGUCGGAAUCGCUAGUAAUCGCGGAUCAGCAUGCCGCGGUGAAUACGCUCCCGGGUCUUGUACACACCGCCCGUCACACCAUAGGAGUGGGUUUCACCAGAAGAGGCUAGCCUAACCGCAAGGGGGGCGGUCGCCACGGUGAGAUUCAUGACUGGGGGUGAAGUCGUAACAAGGUAACC